This 740-nucleotide ribosomal RNA is filed under the name uncultured bacterium. RNAcentral's name for it is "bacterial SSU rRNA". It matches the Rfam family "Bacterial small subunit ribosomal RNA", at positions 8 to 796 of the family's 1533-position model. The record is from RNAcentral.
AGAGUUUGAUCCUGGCUCAGAACGAACGCUGGCGGCAGGCUUAACACAUGCAAGUCGAACGCACCGCAAGGUGAGUGGCAGACGGGUGAGUAACGCGUGGGAACGUGCCCUUCAGUUCGGGAUAACCCAGGGAAACUUGGGCUAAUACCGGAUACGUGCGAGAGCAGAAAGAUUGAUCGCUGAAGGAUCGGCCCGCGUCUGAUUAGCUAGUUGGUAGGGUAAUGGCCUACCAAGGCGACGAUCAGUAGCUGGUCUGAGAGGAUGAUCAGCCACAUUGGGACUGAGACACGGCCCAAACUCCUACGGGAGGCAGCAGUGGGGAAUAUUGGACAAUGGGCGCAAGCCUGAUCCAGCCAUGCCGCGUGAGUGAUGAAGGCCUUAGGGUUGUAAAGCUCUUUCGGCGGGGACGAUAAUGACGGUACCCGCAGAAGAAGCCCCGGCUAACUUCGUGCCAGCAGCCGCGGUAAUACGAAGGGGGCUAGCGUUGUUCGGAAUCACUGGGCGUAAAGGGCGCGUAGGCGGCCUGAUAAGUCGGGGGUGAAAGCCUGUGGCUCAACCACAGAAUUGCCUUCGAUACUGUCGGGCUUGAGACCGGAAGAGGUAAGUGGAACUGCGAGUGUAGAGGUGAAAUUCGUAGAUAUUCGCAAGAACACCAGUGGCGAAGGCGGCUUACUGGUCCGGUUCUGACGCUGAGGCGCGAAAGCGUGNNNAGCAAACAGGAUUAGAUACCCUUGUAGUCC